Molecule: ribosomal RNA, 318 nt
Filed under: uncultured Glomus
Lineage: Eukaryota; Fungi; Glomeromycota; Glomeromycetes; Glomerales; Glomeraceae
Description: SSU rRNA
Rfam family: Eukaryotic small subunit ribosomal RNA
Source: RNAcentral
AAAGCAAGCUAACGCUUGAAUACAUUAGCAUGGAAUAAUGAAAUAGGACGUUCGAUCCUAUUUUGUUGGUUUCUAGGAUUGACGUAAUGAUUAAUAGGGAUAGUUGGGGGCAUUAGUAUUCAAUUGUCAGAGGUGAAAUUCUUGGAUUUAUUGAAGACUAACUACUGCGAAAGCAUUUGCCAAGGAUGUUUUCAUUGAUCAAGAACGAAAGUUAGGGGGAUCGAAGACGAUCAGAUACCGUCGUAGUCUUAACCAUAAACUAUGCCGACUAGGGAUCGGAUGAUGUUAAUUUUUUAAUGACUCAUUUGGUGCCUUACG